ACGAUGGUAGGAUAAUUAUUGACCUGAGGAAUAAUAUGGAUUUAUGUGGUUGUGAGAAUAGACUUUGUGUUUGUGAGUGUGAAAAUGUGAGUGUGUGUCUGUGUAUGUGCGCGCGCGCCCGUCCUGAACCAGGGAUCCCACUUGACAAGUUGACCUUGUCUAGAGGAGCAUUAGUGGAAAAAAACUGUGUAGCCCUGAGACAAAUAGGAUGACGUCACGACCAAUGAGAACGGCCUGCAGGGGGCGCAAGGAUUCACUUCUCUCUUGGACACUGACGGGUCUCGACACGCAAAUUCUGCUCCUGGCGUUGGCCGUCAGUGGAAGAGCGUAGCUUCGGUGGGGUUCUGUCUGCCUCUGAUGGGGUGCGGAUGUGUGGUUCGUCACUGGUGAAUGGUGUUCGACGAUGCAGGUGGAUUUUGUGACGAGCGGAUUUACAAUGAGGGAAUGCUGUGAACGGGAAAAAUGAUGGUGAGUGUCUUUUUCACUCUGUUCAAGUGUUUGUUUUCCUCUGUUGCCCAGCAGUCGUACAAUUUGUGCUGACAUGCCCCGAUAUGCAUGCUUUCCUGUGUUGACGCUUAGUAUUUUUUUCUCUUUUGACAAGGAACAUUGUUGUCUUGACGAUAGUGCUGCCCUGAGUUCUGCGCGCGUUGAUUUGUUGAGUGCCUAGUCCUCUUAUUAGCCGUUGAUGGAGUUACAUGUUAGGAUGUUUUGUUCUUUUGCAAGUCUCAUUUAGUAAGACUUUGGAAUUCCUUCGAUCAGCUUUCAUGCAUGGUGCUCUUCUGCAAUAGUUUCCUAUGCAAUCGUCAUAGAAGAAUAAAGGAAAUAAUCUUGGGAUAGUGAUUCAAUAAAUAAUAGGUCCCCUGUCUAGAGCGCACGCGUCCUUGAGCCACGCAGGUGCAUGAUGACGUCAUACCGUGGCUUCACUGCAGAUUGACCAAAGGAGCAUUAGUGGAAAAAAACAGUGUAGCCCUGAGACAAUAGGAUGAUGUCUGGACCAAUGAGAACUGCCAGCAGGGGGCGCAGGAAUGCUCUUCUCACUUUGCCUCACGACCAAUGAGAACUGCCAGCAGGGGGCGCAGGAAUGCUCUUCUCACUUAGCCUCACGACCAAUGAGCAACGAGAGAAGAGGGCGCAGGAAUGCUCUUCUCUCUUAGCCUCUCGCAGGUGGCGGUAGGAGCGCGCAGAGGGCGCUACGAGCGCGCGCAUGCGUAGCGGCCGCGGAGUGGCGCUUACGUCAGUCCACCUCUGGCUCUCGUUGGGAGAAGACGUGCGGUCGUUCGCUCCGUCGUCACUUGAUCCCUGGCUGUCGACGAGAGCAGUCGCAUCGGUCUGCGCUCCUACUGUGAGCUGUCCUAACUUGCCCAGACAUGCCAUGAUGACGUCACAGCUGACGUCACAGGAUGUCCGGAACUGGUGCUGCGAUGCUUUGCAACCUGCCUCCGUGCUCCGUCGCCCAGCGACAGUCAGCGGCCGUUCCGGACCACUUUCUUCAAGAUGACGUCACUGAUCUUCAACGAUACUCCUUCUCUCCACUCUAUCUCUAUCUAUUUUUUUAUUUUUAUCAGCUCAAGUAGCCGGAAACUCACACAGUGGUCUGGACGUGUCUUAGAUGAUCCCCAAUUAGUGUAAUGACUCCCUGAAUGAUCCUAAUUACUGUGGGGGCUCCCAAAUUGCUCUAAUUGCUAAUUAAUGGCGUCCAGACGAAGAUGUGAGUUUCCGGAUACUUGAGCUGAUACAUUACUACUUAUGUCCUGCUCAUAGAAGAAGAAAAAAGAGAGAGAGAGAAAAAAAGAAGACAACUGCAAUAUCUGUUUAACAAAUGGCGGGUUCUGCCUUAACGGUGCCAUUCACCUUCGACCCUUUCGCAGGAUUUCUAAGGGACAUGGACAGUCAUUUCACGUGUCAGGUCAUGUUGACCUAUUUCACUCAUCUCACAGCCAUUUUAGACAAGAGGUUCUCUGUUACCUCAAGUUGUGACUUGCUGUAGGUGUGA
This is a long non-coding RNA of Ornithodoros turicata, 1993 nucleotides long. RefSeq lists it as uncharacterized. The transcript is spliced from 3 exons. The record is from RefSeq and is a predicted model, not a curated record. Lineage: Eukaryota; Metazoa; Arthropoda; Arachnida; Ixodida; Argasidae.